Molecule: non-coding RNA, 27 nt
Filed under: Mus musculus (house mouse)
Lineage: Eukaryota; Metazoa; Chordata; Mammalia; Rodentia; Muridae
Source: RNAcentral
UGGGGUCAUGUAACACUAUUCCCCAGC